CAGGCUAUAAUAUAUGUCCAGCAGCACGCGGUGAUAAUAUAUGAUGGUCGAGAGUGAUCUCCGAGAUAAUUAUGGCGUGUAAGAGCGCGCGCGGCGCGUGUCUUUUAUGUGAUGAUGAGAGAGCACGGCUCUCCCCCGGAGAGUCUCAGUAAACUGUGGGAAACUAGUGCACAAAAGAAGAGCGUAGUUCCCCACGUAGCGGGGAAAAACGCAUAGAGAUGUAGAGACACCACAGUCGAGGAGGCGUCUCUCGUGUGUGUAUGACGCUGUGACGAGAGAGAGUGUGGAGCGAACACGAUAUGAUAUCCCGGUAGUGCACACGCUGAACGAUGAGAGCUCUGAGUUAGAGGGUGUCUCCCCUCCAUAGCGCCACCUCACACACUAUACACUCUGCCCCGGGAGAGCGGUGGCGCGAGAGAAAAUCAAAAGGAUAUAGGGGGGGCCCCGCACGCGCGGGGGCGCGUGGGUUAUAUUUAAAAAACACGAAGAACCUCUUCACAUCUUGACAUCCUCUGUCACAUCCAGAGAGAGAGGGUUUCCCUUUCGGGGACAGAGUGACAGGUGGUGCAUGGUUGUCGUCAGCUCGUGUCGUGAGAUGUUGGGUUAAGUCCCGCAACGAGCGCAACCCUUGAUCUUAGUUGCCAGCAUUCAGUUGGGCACUCUAAGGUGACUGCCGGUGACAAACCGGAGGAAGGUGGGGAUGACGUCAAAUCAUCAUGCCCCUUAUGACCUGGGCUACACACGUGCUACAAUGGACGGAACAAAGGGCUGCAAGACCGCAAGGUCAAGCCAAUCCCAUAAAUCCAUUCUCAGUUCGGAUUGCAGUCUGCAACUCGCCUACAUGAAGCUGGAAUCGCUAGUAAUCGCGGAUCAGCAUGCCGCGGUGAAUACGUUCCCGGGCCUUGUACACACCGCCCGUCACACCACGAGAGUUUGCUAACACCCGAAGUCGGUGGGGUAACCUUUAUGGAGCCAGCCGCCUAAGGGUGGACCCAGGAAG
Molecule: ribosomal RNA, 1000 nt
Filed under: Priestia flexa
Lineage: Bacteria; Bacillati; Bacillota; Bacilli; Caryophanales; Bacillaceae
Description: bacterial SSU rRNA
Rfam family: Bacterial small subunit ribosomal RNA
Source: RNAcentral